UUUUUUGUUUGUUCUGCAGAAAUAGCGAUAACUUUAAAAAGCUGGAUUUAAAAACUUGUUAUUCUUAGCUUGCAAAGUAUGUGAGUCUCCUUCCCCCCACCUAAUUUAAAAGAAAUUUAAUUUAUCUUUUCCUGACUAAUAAUUGGAAUAAUAAUUGCAGGGCAGCAAACAAAACAACAACAACAAAACCAACAGAAAGCCAAAACCAGACUUUGUGAUUUGGAAUAUUUGGGGUUGCACCCUUAGGCUCCAGUUACAGAAAACUUCCGUUAUUUAGAACUGUGCUUAAAUGUUUGCUUAACAGUAGCAAUGUAUACAGGUCGUGUCCUACAGAUGGAUGGACUGAAAAAGCUGUAGAUGUUUAAGCUUUUUUUUUCUGAUCUUGGGCUUUGGAAUUUAGUUGGUCCAAAAGUCCCAGGCUAUUUGCAAUAACAGCAAUGAAUUUUGCAGCAUUGCUGCAGAUCCUGAGGAAGUUUCUGGAGAGAAGGAUCUUUCAGCCUGCAGAAAAGACUGACUACCACCUUCCCGUAUUGUUGUAGUAGACAACAGCAGAAGACUAGAGAAUAAUCUGUCCUGUGAUACAUGCACGUUGCAUUUUCCUGUGAGAACUGAGCAUUGGGAUUUUAUUUUCCUUUUUUUUUAAUUUUUCCUUAUGAUGUGCAAGACACAUUUAGGAGAUGCACGAGCUAAAUAUUCGCUUAGAUUUUGUGAUCUGUCUCCAAGGGGCUGAAUUGUGGCCUGAGCUUGAGAAGCAAUAAGCACACACAGCUCACAUCAAAUUUAAGCGUAAACACUUACCACAUGCUACUUCUUGAAUGCAAAUUUAUGGUUUAUCGUUCUACUCUUUACAGAAACAAAAUUGCUGUUAGCUUCAAGGGAUUACCCAGAGAUGUUUAUGAAUCACGGGUUUUUUUCUCCAGGCAGGAAUUCAUAGUAAUCUAAAGGUGAGGCCUUCAGGAUAGGAAGUUGUGUCUAGCUUUAUCUGCAGUUUACUGCAGUUAGUGUAGGCUGCAAAAUAAAAAACAAUUCCUUUAGCUUUAGCCUUGACCCUCCCAUGCCUAUAUUUGAAUUUCAUUAUUUUAUCCUUAUUCUGCUGUUUUAUGGCACAGCUUAGCAGGGGCGCAUACCAAGCCAGCAUU
RNAcentral lists this long non-coding RNA (1139 nucleotides) under Strigops habroptila (Kakapo). RNAcentral describes it as "lncRNA (ENSSHBG00005002699.1)". The record is from RNAcentral. Lineage: Eukaryota; Metazoa; Chordata; Aves; Psittaciformes; Psittacidae.